UACGGGGGGGGCAAGCGUUGUUCGGAAUUACUGGGCGUAAAGGGCUCGUAGGCGGCCAACUAAGUCAGACGUGAAAUCCCUCGGCUUAACCGGGGAACUGCGUCUGAUACUGGAUGGCUUGAGAUUGGGAGAGGGAUGCGGAAUUCCAGGUGUAGCGGUGAAAUGCGUAGAUAUCUGGAGGAACACCGGUGGCGAAGGCGGCAUCCUGGACCAACACUGACGCUGAGGAGCGAAGGCCAGGGGAGCAAACGGG
This 253-nucleotide ribosomal RNA is filed under the name uncultured bacterium. RNAcentral's name for it is "partial 16S ribosomal RNA". It matches the Rfam family "Bacterial small subunit ribosomal RNA", at positions 524 to 776 of the family's 1533-position model. The record is from RNAcentral.